GACGAACGCUGGCGGCGUGCCUAAUACAUGCAAGUCGAACGGAGAUUGUAGCAAUACGGUCUUAGUGGCGAACGGGUGAGUAACGCGUUGGUAACCUGCCCCGAAGCGUGGGAUAACGGUCCGGAAGGACCACUAAUACCACAUGUGAUCCCGAGGAAUAGAUACUUGGGAUGAAAGGAGCAAUUCGCUUCGGGAGGGACCUGCGUCCCAUCAGCUAGUUGGUAGGGUAACGGCCUACCAAGGCGAUGACGGGUAGGGGACCUGAGAGGGUGGCCCCCCACAAUGGAACUGAAACACGGUCCAUACACCUACGGGUGGCAGCAGUAGGGAAUAUUGGUUAAUGUGCGAAAGCGCGAACCAGCAACGCCGCGUGUGCGAUGAAGGCCUUCGGGUCGUAAAGCACUUUUUGCAGGGAAGAGGAAGGACGGUACCUGC
RNAcentral lists this ribosomal RNA (435 nucleotides) under uncultured bacterium. RNAcentral's name for it is "bacterial SSU rRNA". It matches the Rfam family "Bacterial small subunit ribosomal RNA", at positions 28 to 482 of the family's 1533-position model. The record is from RNAcentral.